GCGUCAAAGCGUAUAAUAAAAAAAUACAAAACAUACCACACCACCCCCUAACAGCACACAGAGCAACUCUAUUUAACAAUAGAAGGACCAAUGCUAAAACUAGUAAUAAGAACAAAUUCUCCUUUACACGCCCAUCAAUCAGAAAUAGAUAACCUACUGAAAGUUAACCAAUCUACAAAAAAGAAAUAAACUAACCAACAAGUAAAAAUUCACUAUUCUUUGUGACACCAACACAGGAGUGUAUCAAGGAAAGAUUAAAAGCCAAACAAGGAAUUCAGCUAAUAGACUCCAACUGUUUACCAAAAACAUAGCCUUUAGCACCACAAGUAUUAAAGGUCUCGCCUGCCCAGUGAUUCUUUCAACGGCCGCGGUAUCCUAACCGUGCAAAGGUAGCGUAAUCAUUUGUCUCCUAAAUAGAGACUUGUAUGAACGGCUAACUGAGAGCCUAACUGUCUCCUAAGGCCAAUCAAUGAAACUGAUCUCCCAGUACAAAAGCUGGGAUAUGCACAUAAGACGAGAAGACCCUGUGGAGCUUAAAAUACACACUAUCUUCAACCUACUAAUAAAACCACGGAAACAAACCCACAACAACAUAGUGCUACUUUUUAGUUGGGGCGACUUUGGAAUAAAAAAAAACUUCCAUGACGAGGGAACCCCCCCCUACCAAGGCCAACAAGCCAAAAUAACCUUUUUUUGACCCAGACAUCUGAUCAAC
RNAcentral lists this ribosomal RNA (715 nucleotides) under Delma nasuta. RNAcentral's name for it is "partial 16S ribosomal RNA". The stretch from base 279 to 448 matches the Rfam family "Archaeal large subunit ribosomal RNA", at positions 1878 to 2091 of the family's 2987-position model. The record is from RNAcentral. Lineage: Eukaryota; Metazoa; Chordata; Lepidosauria; Squamata; Pygopodidae.